GGGAAUGUGGCUCAGUGGUAGAGCGCUGCGCUCAUAACGCAGAGGUCCCGGGUUCGAACCCCGGCAUUCCCA
RNAcentral lists this transfer RNA (72 nucleotides) under Candidatus Nanohaloarchaea archaeon. Its description in RNAcentral is "tRNA-Ile". It matches the Rfam family "tRNA". From Rfam's summary of the family: Transfer RNA (tRNA) molecules are approximately 80 nucleotides in length. Their secondary structure includes four short double-helical elements and three loops (D, anti-codon, and T loops). Lineage: Archaea; Methanobacteriati; Methanobacteriota; Candidatus Nanohaloarchaea. The record is from RNAcentral.